GACGAACGCUGGCGGCGUGCUUAACACAUGCAAGUCGAACGGACAGGCCCUGCUCUUGUGUGGUGCUCGUGUGGCGCACGCGUGAGUAACACGUGAGUAACCUGCCCCUGUCUUUGUGAUAACUUCAGGAAACAGCGGCUCAUACCGCAUAGGAUCUCCUGCUGCAUGUUGUGGGUUGGAGAGUUUCGGCGGUUGUGGCUGGACUCGCUGCUUAUCCGCUUGUUUGUGAGGUAGGUGCUUUCCAAGGCUUUGACGGGUAGGCGGCCUGAGAGGGUGACCGGGGACAUUGCGACUGAGAGACGGACCAGACUCCUACGGGAGGCAGCAGGGGAGAGUAUGGCACAAUGGGCGGAAGUCUGAUACAGCAACGCCGCGUGCGGGAUGACGGGCUUCGGGGUGUAAACCGCUGUCGCCUGAAACGAAGCGAGAGUGACGGUAAUGGGUAAAAAAGCACCGGCUAACUACGUG
This 468-nucleotide ribosomal RNA is filed under the name uncultured bacterium. RNAcentral's name for it is "partial 16S ribosomal RNA". It matches the Rfam family "Bacterial small subunit ribosomal RNA", at positions 28 to 507 of the family's 1533-position model. The record is from RNAcentral.